UACGGAGGGAGCUAGCGUUGUUCGGAAUUACUGGGCGUAAAGCGCGCGUAGGCGGCUUUGCAAGUCAGAGGUGAAAGCCCGGGGCUCAACCCCGGAAUUGCCUUUGAGACUGCAUCGCUAGAAUUGUGGAGAGGUAAGUGGAAUUCCGAGUGUAGAGGUGAAAUUCGUAGAUAUUCGGAAGAACACCAGUGGCGAAGGCGACUUACUGGACACAUAUUGACGCUGAGGUGCGAAAGCGUGGGGAGCAAACAGG
This 253-nucleotide unclassified non-coding RNA is filed under the name uncultured Sphingomonadaceae bacterium. RNAcentral's name for it is "contains 16S-23S intergenic spacer region". It matches the Rfam family "Bacterial small subunit ribosomal RNA", at positions 524 to 776 of the family's 1533-position model. The record is from RNAcentral. Lineage: Bacteria; Pseudomonadati; Pseudomonadota; Alphaproteobacteria; Sphingomonadales; Sphingomonadaceae.